Long non-coding RNA from Pseudopipra pipra, 243 nucleotides. RefSeq lists it as uncharacterized. The record is from RefSeq and is a predicted model, not a curated record. NCBI's taxonomy places the organism in Eukaryota, Metazoa, Chordata, Aves, Passeriformes, Pipridae. The transcript is spliced from 3 exons.
UGAUUUAGUGGACGUUGGGAUCCUGGAGACGGCUCAGCCCCCUGUGCUUGAGGAGGAGGUGAAUCUUCUUCGUAAGAAACUCUCGGGUGCACUCAGGGUUCGCUGAGGACUGGUGGUGACACCCGUGCCCUGUCCCCCUCCAGCGGAAUGAGGAGAUGAUCAUCCCUGGAAGAACCCCCUGAUUUCCCUCAGAGCCCAGGGCCAUUUCCCCUGAAUGAUCAAUAAAUCCCUUCAGCAAAGCUA